AGUAACGCGUGAGGAACCUGCCUCAAAGAGGGGGAACAACAGUUGGAAACGACUGCUAAUACCGCAUAAGCCCACAGCUCGGCAUCGAGCAGAGGGAAAAGGAGUGAUCCGCUUUGAGAUGGCCUCGCGUCCGAUUAGCUAGUUGGUGAGGUAAUGGCCCACCAAGGCAACGAUCGGUAGCCGGACUGGGAGGUUGAACGGCCACAUUGGGACUGAGACACGGCCCAG
Molecule: ribosomal RNA, 228 nt
Filed under: uncultured bacterium
Lineage: Bacteria
Description: partial 16S ribosomal RNA
Rfam family: Bacterial small subunit ribosomal RNA
Source: RNAcentral